GACGAACGCUGGCGGCGUGCUUAACACAUGCAAGUCGAGCGGUGCGGCGAACGGGCGAGUAACGCGUGAGUAACUGCCCCCCUCCCUGGGAUAACAGUUGGCAACGGGUGCUAAUACCGGAUAGUGGGGGAUGACUCUCGUCCUAUCAGCUUGUUGGUGGGGUAGGGGCCUACCAAGGCGACGACGGGUAGCCGGCCUGGGAGGGCGACCGGCCACAAUGGGCUGAGAGACGGCCCAAACUCCUACGGGACGCAGCAGUGGGGAACAUUGCACAAUGGGGGAAACCCUGAUGCAGCAACGCCGCGGGCGGGAUGACGGCCUUCGGGUUGUAAACCGCUUUCAGCCAUGACGCGGUAGUGGCAGAAGAAGCACCGGCUAACUACGUGCCAGCCGCCGCGGUAAUUC
RNAcentral lists this ribosomal RNA (405 nucleotides) under uncultured bacterium. RNAcentral describes it as "partial 16S ribosomal RNA". It matches the Rfam family "Bacterial small subunit ribosomal RNA", at positions 28 to 526 of the family's 1533-position model. The record is from RNAcentral.